CCUUUUGGCAGCGGCGGCUCCACCAUUUGCCGGCAGUUCGCGAAGAAAACUAGCUUUAUUUCUUGAUUGUCGUCACCGGAAGCCUCGUAAACCGCCCGUGUUCUACUCCUCCAAAAACACGCUGCCACAAUUUCAAAGGUGGAGCAGGUAAUUCCUGUUGAUUCUUGAAACUGUUUUUUUAGUGCGUUUAUUCGAUCUAUGGGAAUAUCGAUGUUGGUGUGUUGUAGGCUGUAUUCGGGCAGGGGUGGGGGAGGGAUAGGAAUUGCAAUUUGAUGAUUAAUUAGGGCAUUUUGAGGAGGAUUAGGAAAGAAAUCUCUAUCCCAUGUAGGCUUAAUGGUGGGAGCUUGGUCAAUUCCUCUAGCGAAUUCCCCCACAGCCUUCAAGAAUUGGGCAGCUCCAAGGCCAUCACAGAUACUAUGGCAGAAAAUCAAACCAAUCACAAACCCUCCACAAGCAAACUCCGUGAUCUGCAUCUUCACAAGCGCUUCUGCUUCUGCUUCUGAUUCAGAUUCAUGUUCCUCAGGAAGAAGAAGAUGAAAGGGAAUCGAACUAAGAUCAUCCAAAUACAUAAGGGAAUCAAGGGUUGAGUCUGAAGAGGCUUCCACGAACAAAACUCCAUUUUCUUGGUUAGAGCAGUCAAGUUGAAGAGGGUAAGUUUGUGGUUUAAAGCGUCCAGCAAGAGGGUAGUAAGGAACCAAAGCUUUUGAUAAUGCUUCUCUAACAAUGUUGGCAGGGGAAACUUCAGCAGAAGGGGAAUCUCUAAACACAUGGAGAGUACGAGCAUUGCAUCUCAACACAGGGAGGCUGUCAAUUGGGGAUAAAUGAAGAAUGGUUGAAGGAGUUUCUCCACAAGGCUUAACCAAACUGGGCUUGCAUCUCUUUACAUUCAUCUUGCAAUUACUACAAUCCAUCAAGAUCAACAAACUGAAAUGGUACCUGCUUCUUUCUCUUGCUCUUGCUCUUGCUCUUGCUCUUGCACUCUAUAUAUUUAUGUGUGUGUGUGUGUAUAUAAUAAUAGAAAUGUGGUCUUUAGCUUGAAGCAAGUCUAAUCCUUGGCUUUCAAGUGCUCCAAAGUAAACUUCCUAAUUGCUUACAGCACAAUGUAUGUUUCUUUAACUUUGUGUUAGGUGGAUAUCACUACUAAUUUUCAAACUUCAUUCGAUUACAUUUCUUACAGUGCUUUGGAUCAUUUUUGAACAUCUGUGUUUUAAAGGUAGCAAGCACUUAGAACAUGAUGAUUGAACUAACAAUGUCUUUGCACUUACUGCUCAGAUAAGCUCCCACCAGAAUCCACUUUCCAAAAUGGAGCAUUUUAUAUCCUAUCCAUUAUCCAUUACUCAUUAAAUGACAUCAGACAUGGGUAUUGCCAAUAAAAAGGCAGGAAAUUUUUGUAUACUACGGUAAUACCUACUACUUCUCUUCAGAAUUUUACAUGAUAUUAAUUUAUUAUCCAUUUAUUUCAUAGAUUCUUAGGUUAAGAUACUAUACUUGCUAUAGUUUCAAAAUGUUCAUUUACACUUUGAACUUCGCUUUAUUUUGGUCCUCGGUGACAAUUUUUGUCUCUUCAUUUUCAUUUUUUAAGGAUCAAAAUGAUUAUAUUUUCUUAAGAUUCAUGAACCAAAAUGGACCAAAGUUUAAAGUAUAGGUACCAAAAUGAAUAUUUUUAAAGCACGUUCUAAAAUGAACCAAAAUCAAAAGUAUAGAGAUCGACGUAAUAUUUAAACCUAAUUCUUAAAUUUUAUUUUUGUGAAAAAUAAUGAACAAAGGUAGUAUGAAAAUUUUCUACACUAUCGUAAUACUAAUCUUUUUCCCAAGAAAAACGCCCAUUUUCCACAGAUUCACGCCACUAAACUUCUGUCUACAAAUAUUUUCUGUGCAGUGCUGAAUGGCCCUGAAUCCCACCUGGAUCCAAAUCUCCAUAUCUUCCAUCCAUUUGUGAGAAGAUGGGUUUCAUGUCACUGUUUUGAUGGAGAGAGCUAUCCCUAUUGAGGUUGAACUGAUCCAACAAGAAGAAAUGAACACACAAAGGAAACAGUGGAGAAGAAUGAUAUCUGUAGGGUCAAUAAUCCAGGUAAACUAUGUAAGUGGAAAGUUAUGUUAUUGUUUUUUUUUCUUAAAUGAGAGUUGUUGGUUUGGUAAUAAGUGGAAACUACUCGCAAAAAUGAACAUCGCAUAGAAAGGAGUUCUUGGUGAAAAGUGGAAAUCCGAAGUACAUAGAUUUCACGAUUGUGGUAGUCAAAAUUGUCUACUAAUGUGGAAUAUUUUUUUGUACUAUACAUUUAUUGCAUCUAACACUCAUGUGGGGUUAACUAAAUAAAUUAUGUAUCCAAACAUAACUUCUUUUUUGCCUUUAGGUGUAUGCCACUCUUUGUUUUUUAAUUUUUAAGUUUCAAAAUAUUUCAUAUUUAGGCCUCUGGAGUUUUAUUUUUGAGUUUCGGUUUUAUAUUAAUCACUAGAUUUCAUUAACUUAAUUUUAUUGUUAAUAUGUAUUAUUUUAAGGUUACUAUAGAAUGAAGUUUUACGUUUAAUUAGUGGGAUGGAAAUAGUGAACGUAUUUGCGAAGACUAAAGUGGGUAUUUAUUGAAAUCUAAGAUUAUAAAUGUAAAUUUUAAUUAUAAAUAUCAAAUCAAAAUCAAAAUCAAAACUAAGGUGACCAAAAACAUUUUUUUUCUUUCCAGAUUUAUUUAGCUGUGA
This 2694-nucleotide long non-coding RNA is filed under the name Cucumis sativus (cucumber). RNAcentral's name for it is "long non-coding RNA (CSAT_LNC002055)". The record is from RNAcentral. Lineage: Eukaryota; Viridiplantae; Streptophyta; Magnoliopsida; Cucurbitales; Cucurbitaceae.